Molecule: ribosomal RNA, 1311 nt
Filed under: Neoneuromus sikkimmensis
Lineage: Eukaryota; Metazoa; Arthropoda; Insecta; Megaloptera; Corydalidae
Description: 16S ribosomal RNA
Rfam family: Archaeal large subunit ribosomal RNA (bases 619-1311)
Source: RNAcentral
AAGUAAAUAAUUAUUGAUUAUAUUGUAUAAAAUAGAUUUUUAAUAUAAAUAAAUUUAAAUUUAAUAUUUUUUGUAUUAUUUAAAGAUAAAAUAAUUUUUAUUAUAGUAAAGUAGUAUUGAUAAAGAAUUUUGAAAAAUUAAUUAUUUAAUGUAAAGUAAUAUUAAUUUUAUGUACCUUUUGUAUCAGGGUUUAUUAAUUAAAUAUUAAGGAUUUAAUAAUUCUCGAAUUAAAAGGAGCUAAUUUAGUAUGAUAGUUUAUGUAUUAUAAUAAUUAUAAAUAUUAAAUUAGAAAUGAAACGUUAUUCGUCUUUUAAGAUAUCUAGUUUUUUAAGAAAUAAAUUUAAUUUACAUAUUAAUAAUAUAAUAUUUUUUAUUUAAAAAUUAAUUAUUUAUAAAUAUGAAUAUAUUAAGGGAUAAGCUUUAAUUUAUUGAAUUAUAAUUUUAUAAAUGUAAAAAUUAAUUGUAGAUUUAGAAAUAGUUAUCAAUAAAAAUUUUGUAUUAAUUUAUAAAUAUUAUUUAAUGUUUUAUAAAAUUUAAUUUUAGUAUUAAAAUAUAUUUUUUAAUAAUAAAAAUUUAGUAAUAAUGAUGGAAUUAGUAUAUAUUAUUUAUUUAUUUUAUAAUUUAAAUAAAAUUAAUUUAAGGAAUUCGGCAAAAAUAAUAUUCACCUGUUUAACAAAAACAUGUCUUUUAGAAAAAAAUUUAAAGUCUAACCUGCCCACUGAAUUAUUUUGAAGGGCCGCAGUAUUUUGACUGUGCAAAGGUAGCAUAAUCAUUAGUCUUUUAAUUGAGGGCUUGUAUGAAUGGUUGGAUGAAAUAUUAACUGUCUCAAAUUAAUAAAAUAGAACUUAAUUUUUAAGUUAAAAAGCUUAAAUAUAAUUAGAGGACGAGAAGACCCUAUAGAUCUUAAUAUUUUUAUUUUUAAUUUUUAUUUAGAUAAAAAAAUAUUUUUAAUAAUAGUAAUAUUUUAUUGGGGUGAUAACUAAAUUUAGUUAACUUUAUUUAAUAAAAACAUUAAUUUAUGAAUAAUUGAUCCAUUAUUAGUGAUUAGAAGAUUAAGUUACCUUAGGGAUAACAGCGUAAUUUUUUUAGAGAGUUCUUAUCGAUAAAAAAGUUUGCGACCUCGAUGUUGAAUUAAAGAUUAAUUUAGGUGCAGUAGUUUAAAUGUUUGGUCUGUUCGACCAUUAAAUCUUUACAUGAUUUGAGUUCAAACCGGCGUGAGCCAGGUUGGUUUCUAUCCUUAAUAAAAUAAAAUAUUUUAGUACGAAAGGACCAAAUAUUAAAAAAAGUUUUUUUUAUAAGAAUAAUAUUAAU